This is a non-coding RNA of Pangasianodon gigas (Mekong giant catfish), 73 nucleotides long. NCBI's taxonomy places the organism in Eukaryota, Metazoa, Chordata, Actinopteri, Siluriformes, Pangasiidae. The record is from the annotation of a GenBank genome assembly.
GGCACAGUGAUGUAGUGGUUAGCACGUUUGCCUCGCACCGCCAGGGUUGAGGGUUUGAAUCCCGCCUCUGCCC